This 1373-nucleotide ribosomal RNA is filed under the name uncultured bacterium. Its description in RNAcentral is "bacterial SSU rRNA". It matches the Rfam family "Bacterial small subunit ribosomal RNA", at positions 28 to 1381 of the family's 1533-position model. The record is from RNAcentral.
GAUGAACGCUGGCGGCGUGCCUAAUACAUGCAAGUCGAGCGAACAGAUAAGGAGCUUGCUCCUUUGAAGUUAGCGGCGGACGGGUGAGUAACACGUGGGUAACCUACCUAUAAGACUGGGAUAACUUCGGGAAACCGGAGCUAAUACCGGAUAACAUUUAGAACCGCAUGGUUCUAAAGUGAAAGAUGGUUUUGCUAUCACUUAUAGAUGGACCCGCGCCGUAUUAGCUAGUUGGUAAGGUAACGGCUUACCAAGGCGACGAUACGUAGCCGACCUGAGAGGGUGAUCGGCCACACUGGAACUGAGACACGGUCCAGACUCCUACGGGAGGCAGCAGUAGGGAAUCUUCCGCAAUGGGCGAAAGCCUGACGGAGCAACGCCGCGUGAGUGAUGAAGGGUUUCGGCUCGUAAAACUCUGUUAUUAGGGAAGAACAAAUGUGUAAGUAACUGUGCACAUCUUGACGGUACCUAAUCAGAAAGCCACGGCUAACUACGUGCCAGCAGCCGCGGUAAUACGUAGGUGGCAAGCGUUAUCCGGAAUUAUUGGGCGUAAAGCGCGCGUAGGCGGUUUCUUAAGUCUGAUGUGAAAGCCCACGGCUCAACCGUGGAGGGUCAUUGGAAACUGGGAAACUUGAGUGCAGAAGAGGAAAGUGGAAUUCCAUGUGUAGCGGUGAAAUGCGCAGAGAUAUGGAGGAACACCAGUGGCGAAGGCGACUUUCUGGUCUGUAACUGACGCUGAUGUGCGAAAGCGUGGGGAUCAAACAGGAUUAGAUACCCUGGUAGUCCACGCCGUAAACGAUGAGUGCUAAGUGUUAGGGGGUUUCCGCCCCUUAGUGCUGCAGCUAACGCAUUAAGCACUCCCCCCUGGGGAGUACGACCGCAAGGUUGAAACUCAAAGGAAUUGACGGGGACCCGCACAAGCGGUGGAGCAUGUGGUUUAAUUCGAAGCAACGCGAAGAACCUUACCAAAUCUUGACAUCCUUUGAAAACUCUAGAGAUAGAGCCUUCCCCUUCGGGGGACAAAGUGACAGGUGGUGCAUGGUUGUCGUCAGCUCGUGUCGUGAGAUGUUGGGUUAAGUCCCGCAACGAGCGCAACCCUUAAGCUUAGUUGCCAUCAUUAAGUUGGGCACUCUAGGUUGACUGCCGGUGACAAACCGGAGGGAGGUGGGGAUGACGUCAAAUCAUCAUGCCCCUUAUGAUUUGGGCUACACACGUGCUACAAUGGACAAUACAAAGGGCAGCUAAACCGCGAGGUCAUGCAAAUCCCAUAAAGUUGUUCUCAGUUCGGAUUGUAGUCUGCAACUCGACUACAUGAAGCUGGAAUCGCUAGUAAUCGUAGAUCAGCAUGCUACGGUGAAUACGUUCCCGGGUCU